Molecule: ribosomal RNA, 253 nt
Filed under: uncultured bacterium
Lineage: Bacteria
Description: partial 16S ribosomal RNA
Rfam family: Bacterial small subunit ribosomal RNA
Source: RNAcentral
UACGGAGGGGGCUAGCGUUGUUCGGAAUUACUGGGCGUAAAGCGCACGUAGGCGGAUUGGAAAGUUGGGGGUGAAAUCCCAGGGCUCAACCCUGGAACUGCCUUUGAUACUGGGGAUCUUGAGUCCGGGAGAGGUGAGUGGAACUGCGAGUGUAGAGGUGAAAUGCGCAGAUAUCAGGAGGAACACCAAUGGCGAAGGCAGCUCGCUGGGACGUGACUGACGCUGAGACGCGAAAGCGUGGGGAGCAAACAGG